AGCUUUGCGCAGUGGCAGUAUCGUAGCCAAUGAGGUUUAUCCGAGGCGCGAUUAUUGCUAAUUGAAAACUAAAUGAAUGAAGAAAAUGUGGUAUAUAUACACACACUGGUCACUUUAGUUUCAAAGAUACAUUU
This is a small nuclear RNA of Neogale vison (American mink), 134 nucleotides long. Its record names the gene U4. It matches the Rfam family "U4 spliceosomal RNA". From Rfam's summary of the family: U4 small nuclear RNA (U4 snRNA) is a component of the major U2-dependent spliceosome. The structure of U4 snRNA from yeast and human has been reported. NCBI's taxonomy places the organism in Eukaryota, Metazoa, Chordata, Mammalia, Carnivora, Mustelidae. The record is from Ensembl.